Felis catus (domestic cat) is the source of this 1557-nucleotide long non-coding RNA. RefSeq lists it as uncharacterized. NCBI's taxonomy places the organism in Eukaryota, Metazoa, Chordata, Mammalia, Carnivora, Felidae. The record is from RefSeq and is a predicted model, not a curated record. The transcript has 3 exons.
CCACUCAGAAGGAGCUAAUCCUCCUCCUGACGAAUCAUCAGAACGCCAGGUCCCAGUGCCUCCCGUCACUCGCUUUACGUCAUCUCAGCACGUAGGCAUUGCAUCAUCUCACGUCAACUCAAGAGGGAAUGCGGCAGAGUCAGCAUGUGUGGAAAAGAUGGGCAAAUUUGCAUAAGGAUCUAGGAGCCUCCCAGGAAGAAAGAAAGGGAAGCCACAGAAGGAAAGAAAGCCCAGUAGGAUGGUCAGGUCAGAUGAAGAUGAUCACAUCAUUAGAAGGUCUGAGGUGAAUUAUUAAAUUUUUUUUUAAAUACUGCAAUCUUUGAAAUUCAGUGAGUUAGGACUCAAAAUGAAGGUGCCUUUUGAUAGAAUUUGAUAAAGAAAUUUUACUAAUCUUUUAGAGUAUUAUGCAAAUGGUAGCUAUUGUUAUUCCAAUUCUGGAUCAUUGUCACCUUCUGUCUGGAUUCAGAGCAGAGAAUAACCUACCCUCUGCUUUUGGAAACCUCUUUCAUUACUCAGGACAAAGGUAGGAAUGGCCAUGCCCCACUCAGAGGAUACCACUUGACCCCUCCUGGGCAGCCUUGGCCCCUUCCUCCCUGGUUUAUGUAUGUCACAAACGUGAAGAAGGCUCUAUCCGUGGAGGUAAGAGAUUAAGGAAGCUCAUCUUUGGAAAAGACAAAGGUAUUUUUUUUCUUUAAUUCAUUCUAUAACUCCCAACUCUUUCUGUCAGCCAGGCUGUCUUCUCUGGCUUCCCAGAUUCAAUAUAGUACUUGUGUACUGAGGAUGAGGCAGAGAAAACAAUUUGCAAUUCUCCCAAUUCCAUGCUUACCAGAGGUAUUCCUUCUGCUCCUCUUCAUCACUUUCAGCCUCUUUUCCAAGGAGGCAUUAUGGAAACUUACAAAUAGGGAGUUGGGCUUCAGGAACUUAGAGCUUUACAAGCAGAUGACGUAUUUUUAAAAUGUCACUUGAUGGAUACGUUCACUCACCUAAAUCUACCUGGUUGCAAUGGCAGCUGCCCACUCAAUUUCCCUUUAAAAACUCACAAAUGCAUGUGGCAAUAAUUGUAGGUCCGCUGGCAGCUGAUAUGUUUUUACAAAGUGAAGGAGUCGCCAUCUAAAAAACCUAUAAACUGUCACAGUCUGUCAUCAUUGCAAAGAUGAGGCCAUUAUUUAAAUUAGACUGUGAAUUAUUUUUUUUCCUCUGUGAUGGCUUUUCAGAUGGUGAUAUGUCAUAAGCAAACCACAAUAAACUGGCCUUAAGCAUUCUCAACCCAUUAGUCCUGCCUAUAAUUUGGUGCUUUCAGGAAAGCAUACAGAUGAUGUAAAAAAGAUUUUGUCAGUGUUUACGCCUGCCAGAAAAAAAAAAAAUCCAAGGAAAUGUUUCUGACAUAACACCUGAAUAUGAGCUGGGCAUUAUGACUGCUGCAGGUAGGAAAAAAUAAAUGAGCCUCAUUUAUUGCUGGCUAUGAUAUCUCCUCGGUGAGAAGUCUCUCUUCAAAUCAGGACAAAAGUAAUCUCUCACAUUUGUUUACUGUUCAGGAGUUCCUAAAGCCUUCAAGAG